GGGCGGGCUCGGCCGCGACUUCCAGGCCCCGCCUGCUGUCAGCGCCGCCGCCAAUCAGCGCCCGGCAGCGCCUGGAGAGGCUGGGACCGCGGGGAGGGGACACGGCGGUGGCGGGGGCGGGGGCUGGGGACCGGGGAGUCCUCGGUGGCCUGGGCUGCAUCGGGGAAUUCGAGACUGUCCGAACUGGGCGGAGGAGAAGGGCGGACCGGGAGAGGCGGGCAGAUCCGCAGGGAAAUUGAUUUUUAUUAGCAUUUGGAGAAUCCCCUGGCGUGGACUACAGGACUGAAGGAGAACAGCUCAAAUUGGCGGUAUGGCCACCUUACUAAUUCAAGGAAAAGGGCUUGAGGCUCGAAGGCUGGAGUGCAAUGGUGUGAUCACUGCUCACAGUAGCUUCAAACUCCCAGGAUUAGGAAAUGGCAAAGCUGCUUACCAGAUGUUCUAGCUUAUAUUCUACCACCUGAGUAAACUCCGUGCAAAUGCCAUAUCUCUUCUAACAGUUUCAGCAAAAGCCCCAGAUCUGGUAUCAAUUGGUUUGGCCUGGAUCAUAUUCAUAUCCUUGAUGCAAUGGUUGGAAUAAAGAACUCCUGAAUCAACUGCUCCUGCCACAGGAGUUACACAACAACCAGCCUUGUGGAUCAAGAGGAACUGCCGCUGUCUUCUUUUUUCAUCUUACCACCUGGUCCAAUUCUACCUUGUUUUCCUGAAUUGUCACUGAGCUUUCAAUACAAGUGAGGAUGGUGUUUGUAAAUUGCAGAAAGACCAGUUUAUCUGUGGAGGAACCACAUAGAGAGUUAGUGUUAUUUUACACUACGUGAAGGCCAGAGGUAAGAGGGCCAGUACAGUAUCUUCAUGACUCCAUCAGGGACACAGGGGCUUCUGUCUGUUCCUUAGACACUCACAGAAUAUGGAUUUUGUCCUCUUGCACUUUCCCUGAAGAUCUCAAAGUAUUUUCUCCACUUCCUGCCUUACCUCAGGAAGAAGUAGAAGGCAGAGGGAAGAAGUUGCAUGCCAGUUAACUGUCCUCAGAGAGAGGGGUGGGGGCAGCCCUGGCAGCCAGGAGCUGGCCUGGCACUAUCAAUGGGCCUUGUUGCUAGGAGCUGACCUGGCACUCAUGGCUAGGCCUUAGCAACUAAAGAGACAGUGCUAGAGAUACCAGAAUUAUAGUUAGCGUUUUGAAGAAAAGGGGUGGAAAAAAACCUUUGACUAUUCACAAGUUGGACUAGAUUUGACUAACACUUGCACGGCCCAAGUGGACCUCUGUAAAUACAUUUCAAAAAGUUACAUUAAUUCUCUGUCUAGAUUUAUGUAAAUAGUCUCAGGGAAGGCAAACUGAGACAGCAAAUGGCAACUGUGAAAUACAGUUUUAUUUGCACACAGGAGAACCUAGUUUUGACAUUUUCUUAAACAACCAAGAUUUAUUCUUUAAAAAAUUAAAUAACACAAGUGAUACAUAAACACUUAUGUACUAUAAAACAGUCAAGUAUUAAAUAAUAUGAGCAUAUAGAGUGAACAUUACAGUUUCCUUUCCCUUCCUCCACAACCUUCCCUUACUAGCAGGAACUACUGCUAAAAUAUUAGUGCAUUUAGUAGAGAAUUUUCCUCUUUACAGUCACACUCAUUUUAGUUUCUUGUGUGUGUGUGCGUGUGUGUAUCAUUGUCUUCCCUUAUACAUACAAGUUACUCUCUUACCAUAACAAGUAGAACUGCUGAGUCUAAGGUUUAACUUUAACCUUUUGGUGACCAGACUCCAAAAUGUUCUUUUAUGGCCACAAAUGGUGUAUGAAGGUAGUCAUUUCCUCUUACCCUUACCAACCCAGAGUUACUCACUCUUCAGUGAAGCACUUGGUACCCCACUGUUGGUUUAAUUUCCCUGAUUACUACUGAUGUUGAGGACCAUUUCAUAUGUUUAUGGACUGUUAGGAAUUCUUGUUCUAUGAUUUGUUUAUUCUUAUUCUUCUUGCUGAUUUGUCUGGAGUGUUUAUGUGGUAUGGAUAUUAAUUCUGUGUUGUAAUCAUACGAGUUGAAAACAUUUUCUCUCACUCGGCAAGUUGCCUUUUAGUUUACCAUAAUAUAAGAUAUUUUAUUAUAGAUAUAUUUAUAUAUAUAUUAUUACAUGACAACAUUUUUUUCUUUUUAGCUUCUGAGUUUUGUGUUUUACAAUAAAAUUUUUCUUUAAUCCAA
Non-coding RNA from Callithrix jacchus (white-tufted-ear marmoset), 2181 nucleotides. The record is from RefSeq and is a predicted model, not a curated record. NCBI's taxonomy places the organism in Eukaryota, Metazoa, Chordata, Mammalia, Primates, Cebidae.